This 72-nucleotide transfer RNA is filed under the name Deltaproteobacteria bacterium. RNAcentral's name for it is "tRNA-Thr". It matches the Rfam family "tRNA". From Rfam's summary of the family: Transfer RNA (tRNA) molecules are approximately 80 nucleotides in length. Their secondary structure includes four short double-helical elements and three loops (D, anti-codon, and T loops). Further hydrogen bonds mediate the characteristic L-shaped molecular structure. tRNAs have two regions of fundamental functional importance: the anti-codon, which is responsible for specific mRNA codon recognition, and the 3' end, to which the tRNAs corresponding amino acid is attached (by aminoacyl-tRNA synthetases). tRNAs cope with the degeneracy of the genetic code in two manners: having more than one tRNA (with a specific anti-codon) for a particular amino acid; and 'wobble' base-pairing, i.e. permitting non-standard base-pairing at the 3rd anti-codon position. RNAcentral also lists the same sequence under 2 other names. The record is from RNAcentral. Lineage: Bacteria; Pseudomonadati; Myxococcota; Myxococcia.
GCCAGCGUAGCUCAGUGGUAGAGCAGCUGAUUCGUAAUCAGCAGGUCCAGGGUUCAAAUCCCUGCGCUGGCU